Molecule: ribosomal RNA, 438 nt
Filed under: uncultured bacterium
Lineage: Bacteria
Description: bacterial SSU rRNA
Rfam family: Bacterial small subunit ribosomal RNA
Source: RNAcentral
AACGCGAAGAACCUUACCCAGGCUCGAAAUGUAAUGGACGAUAUCAGAGAUGAUAUUUUCCGCAAGGACUAUUAUAUAGGUGCUGCAUGGCUGUCGUCAGCUCGUGCCGUGAGGUGUUGGGUUAAGUCCCGCAACGAGCGCAACCCUUAUCAUUAGUUGCCAACACGCGAGGUGGGGACUCUAAUGAGACUGCCUGGGUUAACCAGGAGGAAGGUGAGGAUGACGUCAAGUCCGCAUGGCCUUUAUGUCUGGGGCUACACACGUGCUACAAUGGUCGGUACAGAAGGCAGCAAGACCGUAAGGUGGAGCAAAUCCGAAAAGCCGAUCACAGUUCAGAUUGUAGUCUGCAACUCGACUACAUGAAGUUGGAAUUGCUAGUAAUGACGUGUCAGCAACAACGUCGUGAAUACGUUCCCGGGCCUUGUACACACCGCGAGC